UAGGUGAACCUGCGGAGGGAUCAUUACCGAGUUUACAACUCCCAAACCCAAUGUGAACGUUACCAAACUGUUGCCUCGGCGGGAUCUCUGCCCCGGGUGCGUCGCAGCCCCGGACCAAGGCGCCCGCCGGAGGACCAACCAAAACUCUUUUUGUAUACCCCCUCGCGGGUUUUUUAUAAUCUGAGCCUUCUCGGCGCCUCUCGUAGGCGUUUCGAAAAUGAAUCAAAACUUUCAACAACGGAUCUCUUGGUUCUGGCAUCGAUGAAGAACGCAGCGAAAUGCGAUAAGUAAUGUGAAUUGCAGAAUUCAGUGAAUCAUCGAAUCUUUGAACGCACAUUGCGCCCGCCAGUAUUCUGGCGGGCAUGCCUGUCCGAGCGUCAUUUCAACCCUCGAACCCCUCCGGGGGGUCGGCGUUGGGGAUCGGCCCUGCCUUUGGCGGUGGCCGUCUCCGAAAUACAGUGGCGGUCUCGCCGCAGCCUCUCCUGCGCAGUAGUUUGCACACUCGCAUCGGGAGCGCGGCGCGUCCACAGCCGUUAAACACCCAACUUCUGAAAUGUUGACCUCGGAUCAGGUAGGAAUACCCGCUGAACUUAAGCAUAUCAAU
RNAcentral lists this ribosomal RNA (604 nucleotides) under Trichoderma harzianum. RNAcentral describes it as "eukaryotic LSU rRNA". The stretch from base 227 to 380 matches the Rfam family "5.8S ribosomal RNA". Lineage: Eukaryota; Fungi; Ascomycota; Sordariomycetes; Hypocreales; Hypocreaceae. The record is from RNAcentral.